AGCGAACGCUGGCGGCAUGCCUAACACAUGCAAGUCGAACGAGACCUUCGGGUCUAGUGGCGCACGGGUGCGUAACGCGUGGGAACCUGCCCUUAGGUUCGGAAUAACUCCCCGAAAGGGGUGCUAAUACCGGAUAAUGUCUUCGGACCAAAGAUUUAUCGCCUUUGGAUGGGCCCGCGUUGGAUUAGCUAGUUGGUAGGGUAAAAGCCUACCAAGGCAACGAUCCAUAGCUGGUCUGAGAGGAUGAUCAGCCACACUGGGACUGAGACACGGCCCAGACUCCUACGGGAGGCAGCAGUGGGGAAUAUUGGAACAUGGGCGGAAGCAUGAUGCAGCAAUGCCGCGUGAGUGAUGAAGGCCUUAGGGUUGUAAAGCUCUUUUACCCGGGAUGAUAAUGACAGUACCGGGAGAAUAAGCUCCGGCUAACUCCGUG
This 433-nucleotide ribosomal RNA is filed under the name uncultured bacterium. RNAcentral's name for it is "partial 16S ribosomal RNA". It matches the Rfam family "Bacterial small subunit ribosomal RNA", at positions 29 to 507 of the family's 1533-position model. The record is from RNAcentral.